GACAGAGGGUGCAAACGUUGCUCGGAAUCACUGGGCAUAAAGCGCACGUAGGCCGUCUACUAAGUCCAAUGUGAAAUCCCCCGGCUCAACCGGGGAACUGCAUCGGAUACUGGUGGACACGAGAGUUGUAGGGGUGGACGGAACUCCAGGUGGAGCGGUGAAAUGCGUAGAUAUCUGGAGGAACACCGGAGGCGAAAGCGGUCCACUGGGCAACUCCUGACACUGAGGCACGAAAGCUAGGGGAGCAAACAGG
This 253-nucleotide ribosomal RNA is filed under the name uncultured prokaryote. Its description in RNAcentral is "partial 16S ribosomal RNA". It matches the Rfam family "Bacterial small subunit ribosomal RNA", at positions 524 to 776 of the family's 1533-position model. The record is from RNAcentral.